CCUACGGGAGGCAGCAGUGAGGAAUAUUGGUCAAUGGACGCAAGUCUGAACCAGCCAUGCCGCGUGAAGGAUGAAGGCCUUCUGGGUUGUAAACUUCUUUUAUGGGGGAAGAAGAUUACGGUUUCUACUGUAACCGACGGUACCCUAGGAAUAAGCACCGGCUAACUCCGUGCCAGCAGCCGCGGUAAUACGGAGGGUGCAAGCGUUAUCCGGAUUUACUGGGUUUAAAGGGUGUGUAGGCGGGUCUUUAAGUCAGUGGUGAAAUCUCCGAGCUCAACUUGGAAACUGCCAUUGAUACUAUUGAUCUUGAAUUCUGUUGAGGUGGGCGGAAUAAGUCAUGUAGCGGUGAAAUGCAUAGAUAUGACUUAGAACACCAAUUGCGAAGGCAGCUCACUAAACAGACAUUGACGCUGAGGCACGAAAGCGUGGGGAUCAAACAGGAUUAGAUACCCUGGUAGUCCACGCCCUAAACGAUGAUUACUCGACAUACGCGAUACACAGUGUGUGUCUGNGNGAAGACAUAAGUAAUACACCUCGGAGUACGACCGCGAGUAGAACGACAAUAGAAGUUAGUACGGCGUAGAGACGUAGACCGAACGGACGACGACGAGGGGAGGAGGGAG
RNAcentral lists this ribosomal RNA (623 nucleotides) under uncultured bacterium. RNAcentral's name for it is "bacterial SSU rRNA". The stretch from base 1 to 534 matches the Rfam family "Bacterial small subunit ribosomal RNA", at positions 338 to 873 of the family's 1533-position model. The record is from RNAcentral.